GUAGUAGUGCCCGAGUGGUCGAAGGGGGUGGACUGUAAAUUCACUAUAUCACACGUUGGUUCGAAUCCAACCUGCUACA
This 79-nucleotide transfer RNA is filed under the name Acinetobacter phage AM24. It matches the Rfam family "tRNA". Rfam says of the family: Transfer RNA (tRNA) molecules are approximately 80 nucleotides in length. Their secondary structure includes four short double-helical elements and three loops (D, anti-codon, and T loops). Further hydrogen bonds mediate the characteristic L-shaped molecular structure. tRNAs have two regions of fundamental functional importance: the anti-codon, which is responsible for specific mRNA codon recognition, and the 3' end, to which the tRNAs corresponding amino acid is attached (by aminoacyl-tRNA synthetases). tRNAs cope with the degeneracy of the genetic code in two manners: having more than one tRNA (with a specific anti-codon) for a particular amino acid; and 'wobble' base-pairing, i.e. permitting non-standard base-pairing at the 3rd anti-codon position. Lineage: Duplodnaviria; Heunggongvirae; Uroviricota; Caudoviricetes. The record is from Rfam by way of RNAcentral.